GCCACAACUGCCAUCCCAGGCACUUGGCUGGAGACAGCGAGCAGCCAACAUGCUCUGCUGCUUUCCCAGGCCUCGAGGCCCCAGCCUCAGGACCCCGCAUGGAAAAGCCACUUGGGAACGAGGGAGAGGAUGGUUCGCUCGGCCCAGAUGCUUCAGCACCCGCACCAGGAACCGCCCAACUGUCAUGGGCAGCACAGGGCAGGGCUCGGCAGCUCCGGCCCCCAGGCACUCAGAGACAAGAGGGAGCCCAGGACAGGUGUCCCUAGGCUCUGCCACCAGCCACUCUGAACCGUCGUGUCCAGGACAGGCCCAUUUAGGCCUGGCCACCACUAUUGGAAGUCAGUCAGCAGAGAGCCUGGCAGAGGUCUGCACAGUGAGCACGGUGCAGGCAGGGCCGCCACACGCUCUGACGGAGCCCCUGGAGCCGGCCUUCCUGGACAGCGGCCCCAGCCCCGGCCCCUUCUUCCUGGACUCCUCAAGGGCCGACACCUCCACCCCACAGGCCCUGAUGGUGGGAAGGUCCACCGUUCCUGUCCUUGACUCUGCACUGGAGCUGCACUCCCAGGUGGAGCCCCAGGCUGAGCUUGUCUUCCACCAGCUGGAGCCCCCUGAGCCCCCUGAGGCUGAGCCCCGGGGGUCAGCUCCAGCCCACGCUGAAGUCCCAGCUACAGAGCUGGUGCCAGCUCCACCUGCAGCUCCCUCACCAGCUCUGGUCCCACAGCAAGAGUCGGCACCUGGAUCUCCUUUGCCGCCAGCUGCAGAGCCGGAACUCCUGGUGGCUCCACCGCAGGGGUCAUCUCUUCAGCUCUACCUGGAGGCAGCUCUUGACCCAUACCUGCCAUUCCCUUGUCUUCCAGAUUUACUUAUUAUUGUAUUUACUGCUACCCUCACUUCCCUGAGAUAUGCCGAUGAUAGAAUUAAUGUAAAUAAAGCUUAGGAUUUUAUCCUUAUUUGAAAUAAUCAGAU
Chinchilla lanigera (long-tailed chinchilla) is the source of this 966-nucleotide long non-coding RNA. Ensembl annotates it as formin-like protein 6. The record is from Ensembl. NCBI's taxonomy places the organism in Eukaryota, Metazoa, Chordata, Mammalia, Rodentia, Chinchillidae.